GGCCGCGGGAAUUCGAUUCAGGCCUAACACAUGCAAGUCGAACGCUGAAACCAGAUGCUUGCAUUUGGUGGAUGAGUGGCGAACGGGUGAGUAACACGUGGGUGAUCUGCCCUGCACUUUGGGAUAAGCCUGGGAAACUGGGUCUAAUACCGAAUAUUCACACCACCGUAGGGGUGGUGUGGAAAGCUUUAUGCGGUGUGGGAUGAGCCUGCGGCCUAUCAGCUUGUUGGUGGGGUAAUGGCCUACCAAGGCGUCGACGGGUAGCCGGCCUGAGAGGGUGUACGGCCACAUUGGGACUGAGACACGGCCCAGACUCCUACGGGAGGCAGCAGUGGGGAAUAUUGCACAAUGUAAAGAAGCCUGAUGCAGCGACGCCGCGUGGGGGAUGAUUCAAUGGGGGUUGUAAACUCCUUUCGCUAGGGACGAAG
Molecule: ribosomal RNA, 428 nt
Filed under: uncultured bacterium
Lineage: Bacteria
Description: bacterial SSU rRNA
Rfam family: Bacterial small subunit ribosomal RNA
Source: RNAcentral